This 1369-nucleotide ribosomal RNA is filed under the name uncultured bacterium. RNAcentral's name for it is "bacterial SSU rRNA". It matches the Rfam family "Bacterial small subunit ribosomal RNA", at positions 29 to 1391 of the family's 1533-position model. The record is from RNAcentral.
AUCACGCUGGCGGCGUGCCUCAGACAUGCAAGUCGAACGUGAAAGCCCCCUUCGGGGGGCAAGUAGAGUGGCGCACGGGUGAGUAACACGUAGGUAAUCUACCUUCGGAUGGGGAAUAACAACCGGAAACGGUUGCUAAUACCGCAUAAUGCAGCGGCACCUAAUGGUGACAGUUGUUAAAGCGGGGGAUCGAAAGACCUCGCGUCUGAAGAGGAGCCUGCGGCGGAUUAGCUAGUUGGUAAGGUAAUGGCUUACCAAGGCGACGAUCCGUAGCCGGCCUGAGAGGGCGGUCGGCCACACUGACACUGACAUACGGGUCAGACUCCCACGGGAGGCAGCAGUCAGGAAUUUUGGGCAAUGGGCGAAAGCCUGACCCAGCAACGCCGCGUGAAGGAUGAAAUCCUUCGGGAUGUAAACUUCGCAAGAACGGGAAGAAUAAGUCGGUGCUAAUACCACCGGCGAUGACGGUACCGUUUGUAAGCUCCGGCUAACUCCGUGCCAGCAGCCGCGGUAAUACGGGGGGAGCAAGCGUUGUUCGGAUUUACUGGGCGUAAAGGGCGCGUAGGCGGCCACCGCAAGUCAAUUGUGAAACCUCCGGGCUUAACUCGGAAAGGUCAACUGAUACUGCGGGGCUAGAGUGCAGAAGGGGCAACUGGAAUUCUCGGUGUAGCGGUGAAAUGCGUAGAUAUCGAGAGGAACACCUGCGGCGAAGGCGGGUUGCUGGGCUGACACUGACGCUGAGGCGCGAAAGCUAGGGGAGCGAACGGGAUUAGAUACCCCGGUAGUCCUAGCCUUAAACGAUGAAUGCUUGGUGUCUGGGGUUUUAAAGUCCCCGGGUGCCGUCGCUAACGCUUUAAGCAUUCCGCCUGGGGAGUACGGUCGCAAGACUGAAACUCAAAGGAAUUGACGGGGACCCGCACAAGCGGUGGAGCAUGUGGUUUAAUUCGAUGCAACGCGAAGAACCUUACCAAGGCUUGACAUGGACUUGCACCAGCCGUAAUGGGCUGUCCCGAGAGGGCGAGUUCACAGGUGCUGCAUGGCUGUCGUCAGCUCGUGUCGUGAGAUGUUGGGUUAAGUCCCGCAACGAGCGCAACCCCUAUUGUUAGUUGAAUAAUCUAGCGAGACUGCCACGCUAAACGUGGAGGAAGGUGGGGAUGACGUCAAGUCAGCACGGCCCUUACGCAUUGGGCAACACACACGCUACAAUGGUCGGACCAAAGAGUCGCCAACCCGCGAGGGGGAGCCAAUCUCAUCAAACCCGAUCUCAGUUCAGAUUGCAGGCUGCAACCCGCCUGCAUGAAGGAGGAGUUGCUAGUAACCGUGGGUCAGCACACCACGGUGAAUUACGUUCCCGGUGCUGCACAACACC